CAUACAAUGAUAAAAGAGUACUUACACUUUCCAUAUAUAUUAUAAUUCUCUUUGACUUACACCUACACCUACAUUUACAUGUACUGUACGGGCUGUCAAACGAUAAUUAACCAAAAUAGACGUUAUUGCUUAAAUUUUAAGGUCGCUUUCAAAGUGCUGCCGGGAGCCGCUUAGUAGUUGACACAAUAAAUAGAUUAAAAUUUACCCAAAAAAUACCUACUUUUCCAGUUGGUGUUUAAUAAUAAUGAUAGCUGGUUAGAGUUCACGUUAUUACAAAAAAAAACAUGGGAUUAGUUCGUCAAUACACGACCAUGAAACUGUUCCAACGUUUACAUCGCGUCAGCAAAUCUGCCCUGUCGAAUCAUCGGCGAGCUUUCAGCAGCAAAAUUGAGGCUGCCGAAAAUGAACCAAUUAAAUUCUCAACAAGCGGAGCUGCAAAAAAAGCUGUGAAAUCACUUGUUAAUAAAACAAACAUUAACAUGCCCUGGUAUCAGCCAUAUUCAGUUGUCGCCAGUGUUGCAGUCUUCCUCAUAUAUUUUUGCAUAUUAAGAGAAGAAAAUGAUGUUGAUAUGGAAUUUAAUAAGACUCUCUACGAGAGGAUUAAAGGCUUAGAAAAAGAACAAUUGCUUCAGUCAUACAAGUAUAACAAGGAAAAUGGCUUAAGUGUUGUAGAUAUAGAGAGGCGGUUAAAAGAAUUAGAAAUAGAAUAGAAUAAAGAAGUAAUAUAAUUUGUUAAAAUUAUUCAACAGUUAUUUAUUUGUUGUAAGCAGUGUAGUUUGUAAAUAAAUCUUCUCUUGGA
Molecule: long non-coding RNA, 799 nt
Organism: Manduca sexta (tobacco hornworm)
Lineage: Eukaryota; Metazoa; Arthropoda; Insecta; Lepidoptera; Sphingidae
Exons: 2
Source: RefSeq, a predicted model, not a curated record